This 72-nucleotide transfer RNA is filed under the name Paenibacillus cremeus. RNAcentral's name for it is "Paenibacillus sp. JC52 tRNA-Lys". The stretch from base 6 to 66 matches the Rfam family "tRNA", at positions 6 to 65 of the family's 71-position model. Rfam says of the family: Transfer RNA (tRNA) molecules are approximately 80 nucleotides in length. Their secondary structure includes four short double-helical elements and three loops (D, anti-codon, and T loops). Lineage: Bacteria; Bacillati; Bacillota; Bacilli; Caryophanales; Paenibacillaceae. The record is from RNAcentral.
UAUUAAUUAGCUCAGUUGGUAGAGCACCUGACUUUUAAUCAGGGUGUCGUAGGUUUCGUCCUACAUGGCUCA